GAUUGAACGCUGGCGGCAUGCCUUACACAUGCAAGUCGAACGGCAGCACGGGAGCAAUCCUGGUGGCGAGUGGCGAACGGGUGAGUAAUACAUCGGAACGUGCCCAAUCGUGGGGGAUAACGCAGCGAAAGCUGUGCUAAUACCGCAUAAGAUCUACGGAUGAAAGCAGGGGAUCGCAAGACCUUGCGCGAAUGGAGCGGCCGAUGGCAGAUUAGGUAGUUGGUGAGGUAAAGGCUCACCAAGCCUUCGAUCUGUAGCUGGUCUGAGAGGACGACCAGCCACACUGGGACUGAGACACGGCCCAGACUCCUACGGGAGGCAGCAGUGGGGAAUUUUGGACAAUGGGCGAAAGCCUGAUCCAGCCAUGCCGCGUGCAGGAUGAAGGCCUUCGGGUUGUAAACUGCUUUUGUACGGAACGAAAAGUCUCUUUCUAAUAAAGAGGGA
Molecule: ribosomal RNA, 444 nt
Filed under: Variovorax sp.
Lineage: Bacteria; Pseudomonadati; Pseudomonadota; Betaproteobacteria; Burkholderiales; Comamonadaceae
Description: bacterial SSU rRNA
Rfam family: Bacterial small subunit ribosomal RNA
Source: RNAcentral